GACGAACGCUGGCGGCGUGCUUAACACAUGCAAGUCGAGCGGUAAGGCCCUUCGGGGUACACGAGCGGCGAACGGGUGAGUAACACGUGGGUGACCUGCCUCUAGCUCUGGGAUAAGCCUGGGAAACUGGGUCUAAUACCGGAUAUGACUCCACGGCGCAUGUUGUGGGGUGGAAGGCCUUGUGUGGCUAGAGAUGGGCCCGCGGCCUAUCAGCUUGUUGGUGGGGUGAGGCCUACCAAGGCGACGACGGGUAGCCGGCCUGAGAGGCGACCGGCCACACUGGGACUGAGACACGGCCCAGACUCCUACGGGAGGCAGCAGUGGGGAAUCUUGCGCAAUGGGCGAAAGCCUGACGCAGCGACGCCGCGUGAGGGAUGACGGCCUGG
Molecule: ribosomal RNA, 386 nt
Filed under: uncultured bacterium
Lineage: Bacteria
Description: bacterial SSU rRNA
Rfam family: Bacterial small subunit ribosomal RNA
Source: RNAcentral